This 449-nucleotide unclassified non-coding RNA is filed under the name Hevea brasiliensis (rubber tree). Lineage: Eukaryota; Viridiplantae; Streptophyta; Magnoliopsida; Malpighiales; Euphorbiaceae. The record is from RNAcentral.
AGCUUAGAAAAUUCAGGGUUUGUGUAAUUAACCCUAAGAAGAACAAAGGCAAAAGCUUAAACCAUGGCUGUUGCAGUGUUAGAACUGGCUUUGAUCCGCGAAGUUGUGCUCAUAAAUUGUAUUUCAAAAGAAUUUAACUACCAUAGCUCAAAUGUAUUCGUGACAACAGAUUGCAUGCUCUAUGACAACAUUAGAAAUAUUUAAAACCAAAAGCAUGGGAUGCAAAUCUCUCUCCUACCCUCCUCCCUCCUCACUCACAUGCACACAAGCAUGGGAUGAUAUAUCUUUUCUAUCAUACAUAUACAUGUACAUAUAAAAAUGUAGAAGAUGCUACCUAACCUUGGUUAUAAAGCCUAAGCCCAAAACAUGAAUGUAUCAGAGAUCCAAGACAGGAAUUUCUUGGAUGCAUCUGACCAUUACCCUAGGGAAAAACAAUAAUGUUACUCGUA